ACGCUGACGAAUGCUUACACAUGCAAGUCGAUGAUGGGAGCUAGCUUGCUAGAAGAAGUCAUGGCGGACGGGUGAGUAACGUGUAAAGAACUUACCAUAUAGACUGGGAUAACAGAGGGAAACUUCUGAUAAUACUGGAUAAGUUAGAAGUAGCAUUACUAAGUAAUGAAAGGUAGCAAUACGCUAUAUGAGAGCUUUGCAUCCUAUUAGCUAGUUGGUGGGGUAAAAGCCUACCAAGGCGAUGAUAGGUAGCCGGCCUGAGAGGGUGGACGGCCACAAGGGGACUGAGAUACGGCCCUUACUCCUACGGGAGGCAGCAGUGGGGAAUAUUGGACAAUGGAGGCAACUCUGAUCCAGCAAUUCUGUGUGUGUGAAGAAGGUUUUAGGACUGUAAAACACUUUUAGUAGGGAAGAAAGAAAUGACGGUACCUACAGAAGAAGCGACGGCUAAAUACGUGCCAGCAGCCGCGGUAAUACGUAUGUCGCGAGCGUUAUCCGGAAUUAUUGGGCUUAAAGGGCAUCUAGGCGGUUAAACAAGCUGAAGGUGAAAACCUGUGGCUCAACCAUAGGCUUGCCUACAAAACUGUAUAACUAGAGUACUGGAAAGGUGGGUGGAACUACACGAGUAGAGGUGAAAUUCGUAGAUAUGUGUAGGAAUGCCGAUGAUGAAGAUAACUCACUGGACAGCAACUGACGCUGAAGUGCGAAAGCUAGGG
RNAcentral lists this ribosomal RNA (716 nucleotides) under uncultured Sneathia sp. RNAcentral describes it as "bacterial SSU rRNA". It matches the Rfam family "Bacterial small subunit ribosomal RNA", at positions 33 to 765 of the family's 1533-position model. Lineage: Bacteria; Fusobacteriati; Fusobacteriota; Fusobacteriia; Fusobacteriales; Leptotrichiaceae. The record is from RNAcentral.